RNAcentral lists this ribosomal RNA (421 nucleotides) under uncultured bacterium. RNAcentral's name for it is "partial 16S ribosomal RNA". It matches the Rfam family "Bacterial small subunit ribosomal RNA", at positions 360 to 773 of the family's 1533-position model. The record is from RNAcentral.
AAUAUUGGACAAUGGGCGAAAGCCUGAUCCAGCCAUGCCUCGCGUGUGAAGAAGGCCUUCGGAUUGUUAAGCACAUUCAGUUGGGAGGAAGGGCUUUAGCUUAAUACCCUGAAGUUUUGACGUUACCGACAGACUAAGCACCGGCUAACAUAGUGCCGGCAGACGCGGUAACACGUAGGUUGCAAGCGUUAUUCGGAAUUACUGGGUGUAAAGCGAGGGUGGGCGGUUCGGAAAGAAAGAUGUAAAAUCCCAGGGCUAAACCUUGGAACUGCUUUCAUAACUGCUGAGCUAAAGUACGGUAGAGGGUAGUGGAAUUUCCUGUGUAGCGGUGAAAUGCGUAGAUAUAGGAAGGAACACAAGUGGCGAAGGCGACUACCUGGACUGAUACUGACACUGAGGUGCGAAAGCGUGGGGAGCAAAC